AUGCAAGCAAGCACCCUAUUGGAAGGUACUCUUAAUGAAAUGAACACCGGCUGGAUGGUUCUCUUUUUGGAUGUGGGCUCAGACAUUAGGAGCAGGCAGUAUCUUUUCUUUUUCUUUUUCUUUCUUUCUUUUUUUUUUUUUGACAGGAUGGGCUGGGGUUGGGGGAGGAGGAAGCAAGAAUCAAGCAGAGAAGGCGAGCUCCUUUCUGUUCAUCUAACUCAAACUCUUUCCAAGUGUGAACCCAGUGGAGACGUUUUCAAACUGUAGCCAUGAAGCAGGUUGCAUGAGGCAGUUCCAUCUCCUGGCAACUGUCUCCAUAGACACAGCCUGGUUUCGGUCCGCAUCCCUUACCUAGGUAAGUACAACCCUUUCCUAACUGCUUUCCCCGUUUCAUUUUGGUCAUACACUAC
This 410-nucleotide long non-coding RNA is filed under the name Pan paniscus (pygmy chimpanzee). RNAcentral describes it as "lncRNA (ENSPPAG00000044330.1)". Lineage: Eukaryota; Metazoa; Chordata; Mammalia; Primates; Hominidae. The record is from RNAcentral.